This 1014-nucleotide ribosomal RNA is filed under the name Triticum aestivum (bread wheat). RNAcentral describes it as "partial small subunit ribosomal RNA". The record is from RNAcentral. Lineage: Eukaryota; Viridiplantae; Streptophyta; Magnoliopsida; Poales; Poaceae.
AUGGAUCUCCAGACCUUCGUGCUGAGGGUGACCAUCCACUGCCAUGGCUGCAAGAAGAAGGUCCGGAAGGUGCUCAAGAGCGUCGAAGGCGUGCAGGACGUGAAGGUGGAUGCCCAGCUGCACAAGGUGAUGGUGACCGGCACCGUGGACGCCGAGACGCUCAUCAAGCGGCUGCACAAGUCGGGCAAGCAGGCCCUGCCAUGGCAACACACGCCUGCCAAGAAUCCCGACCCUGCGCCGCCAGCCCCAGCCGACGCCCCCGCGCCGGCCGGGGACGGCAGCAAGGAUGCUGCUGUGGCCGACAAGAAGCCGGCGGAGCCUGUGAAGGAGCCGCAGGCCGACAGCUCGGACAAGAAGCCGGAGCAGGAGACGGCCCCCGAGAAGAAGCCUGAGGCGGAGAAGGAAGCAGAAUCUGAGAAGAAGGCUGACAAAGAGGAGGAGGCAAAACCAAGCGACGAGGCAAAGCAAGACGGCGGCGAGGGCGAGCCCAAGGCAAAGGGCGCCGAGCCCGCGAGUGAGCCCGCUGCCGCCGCAAAGGAGGCCGGCGGCAAUGACGAGGCCGAGGCGAAGAAGAAACAGAGCAAGCCCAAGGACGCCGAUAGGUCCCUGUCCCAUGCGCCGAUGCACGCGCACCACGAAUUCAACCCGUACGGCGCGCCGCAGCCGGUGAUGAGCUACAACAUGGCGCAGCCGAGAGCGAGCGUGUCCCACUACGCGCCGCGGCCGGAGCAGGGCUACUCGCUGCAGCAGCAGCAGGCCGGGUACUCCUCCUCCUCCAUGAUGCAGCACCCACCGGCGCCGGCGCAGCAGGCCUACUCCCAGCAGGCGCAGCCAAUGCAGCAAUGGUCGCCGUCCUACCUCUACAUGCCGUACCCGCACGCGUCGCCGGAGUCCUACUACCAGGACUACUACAGCCCGCCCGGGACGCACGCGGCGCCGCCACCCCUGCCGCCGCUCCAGGACUCGUACCGCCUGUUCGACGACGAGAACCCCAACUCGUGCAGCGUCAUGUGA